GGUGAUCAGGACCUCCACCUGACAGGGAAGCAGACAGUUGGGUAGUAGGUGUGGCCAGCAUUUACCUGUCCGAGUGUUUGUGAGGCAGACCGGACCACUAUGUGAGUCUUGAUAAACUGCUCGCUCACUCAGUGCCAGAAAUAGCUGGGCCACUGGGGCCUCAGGACAGUUGUGGAUCCUUUCCUGGGCAGUGGAUCCUGCCCUGGUCAUUCCUACUGGUCCCCCAUGGCCUCUCCUAAGCUCUGUUGAGCUACACCCAAAGUGUGACCCGUGGCAUAAUGGAAGGACUGGGCCUCACCUACCAGACAUUUGCUGGGACAUUCCGCUGUCACAUGGCUGGCGAUGGCACUUGGAAAACACUGGGAAGAGAACAGAAAAACUUACAGAUUGGUGUUUAAAAGGCCAAAUCCUCAAUCUGUGUUCCUGCCCUGAUGAUGUCACCAUUCUGUCUAGUAGGAGACCAGGGCUGCCUCAGGCUGCGCAAGUGUCCUAGGCUCCCGACGGCCUCUCACAGGUUUGGUAGCUGCUUGUUGCUCAACUGUUUGUCUCACCAGUCGAGUCUCCUGUAGAAAGGCUACACGAAUGACAGUGACAUCCCACGCCCCCUGGGAUGACCUUGGUGACAUCUGUCAUGUUCUGUACUCUCUGCUUUCAGCCUGGUCACUUGACCUUGUGCUGCACUCGGGCAAUGGAGUGCAGUGCAGUCUGCAGCACCAUUCAUUUGUUCCAAAAGCAAUAGGAAGAGAGAUCUCUCCGCUUCAUGACCUAAAACCCAAACUGGGGUUUCCUUGUGCCUCCUCGUCCAGCUCUUCACCUCUGGCACCUUCAUGGACUUUCCUGAGACAUGGACCCUGAGCUUCACACGGGUUUUUAAAAUAUAAUUGGUAUGGUGCUUUGGAUCUGCUGGGCCCACAGGAAGUGGCGCUAUGAGGAGGUGUGGUCUUGUUGGAGGAAGUUUGAGGUCUCCUAUGCUCAAGCUCCACCCAGUGUGUGAGAGCCUCCUCCUGGCUGCCUUUGAAUCAAGAUGCAGAACUCUCAGCUCCUUCUCCAGCACGAUGCCUGUCUGGAUGCUGCCAUGUUCCUGCCUUGAUGAUACUGGACUGAAUCUCUGAACCUGUAAGCCAGCCCCAAUAAGUGUUGUCCUUAUGAGAGUUGCCUUGGUCACGGUGUCUGCUCACAGCAGUAAACCCUAAGACAGUUGGAUUUCUUAGGAAAAUAGUUAAGUAGUAUAAUACUAGUAGUUAAAAUAAAAUUUCAUUCAAAUACAUUUAA
Rattus norvegicus (Norway rat) is the source of this 1272-nucleotide long non-coding RNA. RefSeq lists it as uncharacterized. The record is from RefSeq and is a predicted model, not a curated record. Lineage: Eukaryota; Metazoa; Chordata; Mammalia; Rodentia; Muridae.